CUGAUAGCAGACUACUCCGAUCCGGAUCCGUUUUACCUCCGGCAGAUCCGCGCUACAGUCAGGUCUGUUUAGUGGAUCUGGUCCGGCUUCACUCCGGGUUCGGGUUAUGAUUGUGACUCACGUUCAGAUCCGUUUUACUGACGGUAAAUCCGCAUAACAGUCCGUCUCAUUUCACGCCUUCAAUAUGACUUCGGCACGGAGUCAGAUACCAGAUGUGAGUUCAGUGUCAGCUCAGUGUCGUUUUGCGGAUCCGGGCCGCAUUGGCGGAGCGGCACAGGAGCGGGAGAAAUUCAAACUCAGCGCGAGGACCAACUGACAUCUGCUGAAUCUGCGCUUCAGGGCUGCUGAGGGCUGGGGACCUGAGAUAAGGUGUAAUCAUUUACCCAUCAAAUCACCUAACAAGCAGGAUUUGGUAUCCGCAAAAUGGUUCGAGGUCCUCAGCCCUCGCCUCCCCCAGCACAGAGGAAAACUACCAAGGGCGGUACUCUCAUUAUAGGAGAUUCAAUUGUUAGACAUUUAAAAGUAUCUAAGAGUAAUGGCACAAUUUCAUGUCUUCCAGAUGCUUGCAUGCUGGUAGUCGGCAAGCGGCUCCCUGGGGCGCAUUGCCAAAGCAGGAACCCCGGCACCAUCGCCCUCCAUGUGGGGAUGAGCUUUCGGGAGCGACCGGCCCCAUUCCACAGAGACAGGCUUCUCUCUGUGAACAUCGAGGCGGUGCUACGCUGAGACUGACUGUCUCUACCCAGUCACACCAGCCAAGUAGGCUGCACUGUAGUGGUGUUAAGUGUCCAAGAAUGCUCUCAUCAGUGGAGGCACAGCUGGCUGCAAAAAACGUCUGUGUCUGCAUGUUUAUAUUAUGUGAAUUAAAAAUGGUUUUAUUAUUAAAAUAAUUGUA
Astyanax mexicanus (Mexican tetra) is the source of this 892-nucleotide long non-coding RNA. RefSeq lists it as uncharacterized. The record is from RefSeq and is a predicted model, not a curated record. NCBI's taxonomy places the organism in Eukaryota, Metazoa, Chordata, Actinopteri, Characiformes, Acestrorhamphidae. The transcript is spliced from 5 exons.